CCCUUAGAUGUCCGGGGCUGCACGCGCGCUACACUGAAGGAAUCAGCGUGCUAAAACCAUUGUCGAAAGGCAUUGGUAAACCCAUUAAAAUCCUACGUGAUUGGGAUCGGGAAUUGCAAUUAUUUCCCUUGAACGAGGAAUUCCCAGUAAGUGUGGGUCAUAAGCUCGCGUUGAUUACGUCCCUGCCCUUUGUACACACCGCCCGUCGCUGCCCGGGACUGAGCCGUUUCGAGAAAAGCGGGGACUGCUGCUGUCGGGGCUUUCGGGCCUUGGCUUCGGUGGAAACCGCUUUAAUCGCAGCGGCUUGAACCGGGCAAAANUCGUANCA
RNAcentral lists this ribosomal RNA (328 nucleotides) under uncultured eukaryote. Its description in RNAcentral is "partial 18S ribosomal RNA". It matches the Rfam family "Eukaryotic small subunit ribosomal RNA", at positions 1470 to 1796 of the family's 1831-position model. The record is from RNAcentral.